This 864-nucleotide ribosomal RNA is filed under the name marine metagenome. Its description in RNAcentral is "bacterial SSU rRNA". It matches the Rfam family "Bacterial small subunit ribosomal RNA", at positions 21 to 890 of the family's 1533-position model. The record is from RNAcentral.
GGCUCAGGAUGAACGCUGGCGGCGUGCCUAAUACAUGCAAGUCGAACGAGGAGCCUCACAUCUUCGGAUGAGGGGAUUUCCUAGUGGCGGACGGGUGCGUAACACGUGGGUGACCUGCCCCGAAGUGGGGAAUAACUCCGCGAAAGCGGAGCUAAUACCGCAUGUUGUCGCGCGAGUUAGAGGUCGCGCGUCUAAAGAUUUCGGUCGCUUCGGGAGGGGCCCGCGGCCCAUCAGCUAGUUGGUGGGGUAAUGGCUCACCAAGGCUAUGACGGGUAGGGGACCUGAGAGGGUGAUCCCCCACACUGGAACUGAGACACGGUCCAGACACCUACGGGUGGCAGCAGUAGGGAAUAUUGCACAAUGGGCGCAAGCCUGAUGCAGCAACGCCGCGUGCGCGAUGAAGGCCUUCGGGUUGUAAAGCGCUUUUCGGAGGGAUGAAUCAAGACAGUACCUCCAGAACAAGGAUCGGCUAACUACGUGCCAGCAGCCGCGGUAAAACGUAGGAUCCAAGCGUUAUCCGGAAUUACUGGGCGUAAAGGGCGUGUAGGCGGCUUGGCAAGUCGGUCAUGAAAGCUCCCGGCUCAACUGGGAGAGGUUGUCCGAUACUGCCAGGCUAGAGGGCAAGAGAGGGAGGUGGAAUUCCCGGUGUAGUGGUGAAAUGCGUAGAUAUCGGGAGGAACACCAGUGGCGAAGGCGGCCUCCUGGCUUGUGCCUGACGCUGAGACACGAAAGCGUGGGGAGCGAACGGGAUUAGAAACCCCGGUAGUCCACGCCGUAAACGAUGUCAACUAGGUGUUGGUGGUAUAAAAUCCAUCGGUACCGGAGCUAACGCAUUAAGUUGACCGCCUGGGGACUAAGUAGAGG